CACAGGUUUGGUCCUGGCCUUUCUAUUAGUUCUUAAUAAAAUUACACAUGCAAGUAUCCGCGCCCCGGUGAGAAUGCCCUCCAGAUCUUAAAGAUCAAAAGGAGCAGGUAUCAAGCACACCUAUAACGGUAGCUCAUAACGCCUUGCUCAACCACACCCCCACGGGAAACAGCAGUGAUAAAAAUUAAGCCAUGAACGAAAGUUUGACUAAGUUAUAUUAAUCAGAGUUGGUAAAUCUCGUGCCAGCCACCGCGGUCAUACGAUUAACCCAAAUUAAUAGAUCCACGGCGUAAAGAGUGUUUAAGAAAAAACCACAAUAGAGUUAAAUUAUAACUAAGCUGUAAAAAGCCCUAGUUAAAAUAAAAUAACCCACGAAAGUGACUCUAAUAAUUCUGACACACGAUAGCUAGGACCCAAACUGGGAUUAGAUACCCCACUAUGCCUAGCCCUAAACCCAAAUAGUUACAUAACAAAACUAUUCGCCAGAGUACUACUCGCAACUGCCUAAAACUCAAAGGACUUGGCGGUGCUUCACAUCCACCUAGAGGAGCCUGUUCUAUAAUCGAUAAACCCCGAUAGACCUUACCAACCCUUGCCAAUUCAGCCUAUAUACCGCCAUCUUCAGCAAACCCUAAAAAGGAACAAUAGUAAGCACAAUCAUAACACAUAAAAACGUUAGGUCAAGGUGUAGCUUAUGGGUUGGAAAGAAAUGGGCUACAUUUUCUACAUAAGAACACCCACCAUACGAAAGUUUUUAUGAAACUAAAAACCAAAGGAGGAUUUAGCAGUAAAUCAAGAAUAGAGUGCUUGAUUGAAUAAGGCCAUGAAGCACGCACACACCGCCCGUCACCCUCCUCAAGCAUGUAGUAAUAAAAAUAACCUAUAUUUAAUUACACAACCAUGCAAGAAGAGACAAGUCGUAACAAGGUAAGCAUACUGGAAAGUGUGCUUGGACUAC
This 958-nucleotide non-coding RNA is filed under the name Sus scrofa cristatus. RNAcentral describes it as "12S ribosomal RNA". It matches the Rfam family "Bacterial small subunit ribosomal RNA". Lineage: Eukaryota; Metazoa; Chordata; Mammalia; Artiodactyla; Suidae. The record is from RNAcentral.